RNAcentral lists this ribosomal RNA (451 nucleotides) under uncultured bacterium. RNAcentral describes it as "bacterial SSU rRNA". It matches the Rfam family "Bacterial small subunit ribosomal RNA", at positions 340 to 784 of the family's 1533-position model. The record is from RNAcentral.
UACGGAAGGCAGCAGUGGGGAAUAUUGCACAAUGGGCGCAAGCCUGAUGCAGCCAUGCCGCGUGUAUGAAAAAGGCCUUCGGGUUGUAAAGUACUUUCAGUCGUGAGGAAGGUGUUAAGGUUAAUAACCUUAGCAAUUGACGUUAGCGACAGAAGAAGCACCGGCUAACUCCGUGCCAGCAGCCGCGGUAAUACGGAGGGUGCGAGCGUUAAUCGGAAUUACUGGGCGUAAAGGGCACGCAGGCGGUUAAUUAAGUUGGAUGUGAAAUCCCCGGGCUUAACCUGGGAAUGGCAUUCAAGACUGGUUAGCUAGAGUCUUGUAGAGGGGGUAGAAUUCCAUGUGUAGCGGUGAAAUGCGUAGAGAUGUGGAGGAAUACCGGUGGCGAAGGCGGCCCCUGGACAAAGACUGACGCUCAUGUGCGAAAGCGUGGGGAGCAAACAGGGAUUAGAUA